This 81-nucleotide transfer RNA is filed under the name Dreissena polymorpha. It matches the Rfam family "tRNA". From Rfam's summary of the family: Transfer RNA (tRNA) molecules are approximately 80 nucleotides in length. Their secondary structure includes four short double-helical elements and three loops (D, anti-codon, and T loops). Further hydrogen bonds mediate the characteristic L-shaped molecular structure. tRNAs have two regions of fundamental functional importance: the anti-codon, which is responsible for specific mRNA codon recognition, and the 3' end, to which the tRNAs corresponding amino acid is attached (by aminoacyl-tRNA synthetases). tRNAs cope with the degeneracy of the genetic code in two manners: having more than one tRNA (with a specific anti-codon) for a particular amino acid; and 'wobble' base-pairing, i.e. permitting non-standard base-pairing at the 3rd anti-codon position. The record is from Rfam by way of RNAcentral. Lineage: Eukaryota; Metazoa; Mollusca; Bivalvia; Myida; Dreissenidae.
GUUGUCGUGGCCGAGUGGUUAAGGCGAUGGACAACAACCAUUUUGGGAUCUCCCGCGCAGGUUCGAAUCCUGCCGACAUCG